Molecule: ribosomal RNA, 422 nt
Filed under: Blepharida rhois
Lineage: Eukaryota; Metazoa; Arthropoda; Insecta; Coleoptera; Chrysomelidae
Description: eukaryotic LSU rRNA
Source: RNAcentral
CCCGAAAGGUCGAAAGGGGAAAUUCAUUCGCGUUUCAGCCGUUGGAGUUGAACGUUCGCGUGACGGACGACGUUCGCGUCGUUUGCGCCUUUCGUUCUACUAACCGACGUUGAACGCGUGCACUUUUCCUCUAGUAGGACGUCGCGAUCCGUUGGGUGUCUGUCUAAGACUCGGGGUGGAGCCCGCGUGGCAUUUUGUCGCGCGGACCCUCGAAGUUCCGACAGACUCGCUCGACGGUAUGCUAAUGGCGCGGGGCCGCUAUUCAGUUAGCGUUCGGCCCGUAACAAGCACGUUCUGCGUUUGACGGCGAUCGGACCUGGUGCCGAUUCUGUCCCGGAACGACUGUUGGUUGCGGUGUUCUCGAACAGACCUCGUUGAAACGCCGAUCAGCGACGCUAUAGCUUUGGGUACUUUCAGGACCC